GCUUACCGACCGGUCGUCGAUUAAUCGACUUUUGAUCUUUCUGUUAGAUUUGGUUAGGUUAGAUUGACAAGUAGCAAGCAGCAAGCAUUUCGCAUUCUUUAUUCAGAUAAUCGGUGUUUUUUUUCUGAAGAUCAAAAGUCGAUUAAUCGACGACCGGUCGGUAAGCACUA
RNAcentral lists this microRNA precursor (170 nucleotides) under Stegodyphus mimosarum. RNAcentral's name for it is "microRNA mir-50". Lineage: Eukaryota; Metazoa; Arthropoda; Arachnida; Araneae; Eresidae. The record is from RNAcentral.